AUGGCGGCCGCGGCGCAGGAGGCCGAGCCGGCCUGCCUGCAGAGCUUCGACCUCUAUGAGAGCGCAUCGAGAUUUUAUAUUUUUGGAACUAAUGCUGACAAAACAGUAUGGAGGCUACUCAAAAUCGAUAGAUCGGAAACAUCAGAGCUUGACAUAGACGAGUGUUCUACUGUAUAUACACAAGCUGAGUAUCUUGAACUGGUGAGUGGUCUUGAUGAAGAUCACAGGUCAACUGGUGGGGUUAAAUUUGUGACAAAGUUUUAUGGCAUAAUUGGUUUCAUUAAGUUCCUUGGGCCAUUUUAUAUGUUAAUUAUUACCGAACAGAGAAAAAUUGGGGAGAUAUUUGAUCAUCCAGUGUAUCAGGUGACUAAGACUUCAAUGAUUGAGUUAGCAAAUUCUAAAUCUCGAUCCAGUUUUCUGAAUCCCAGGGAUGAGAACAGAUACAAGAAGAUUUUGAACACACUUGAUCUUAGGAAGGACUUCUUUUUCAGUUACUCAUACCCUAUCAUGAGAGGUCUUCAGAAGAAUUUAAGGGAUCCACAAGAAGGGUGGUCACUAUAUGAGUCAACAUUUGUGUGGAAUGAGUUUCUUACUCGACAAAUACGCAAUUGUCUACAAAGUACUUUGUGGACUGUUGCAUUAGUCUAUGGUUUUUUUAAGCAGGACAAAUUUGCAAUAUCUGGGAAGGACAUUAUGUUCACACUCAUUGCUAGGCGCUCAAGGCAUUAUGCUGGCACCAGAUAUUUAAAGAGGGGAGUAAAUGAGAAGGGAAGAGUAGCGAAUGAUGUUGAGACUGAGCAAAUUGUGUAUGAAGCUGUGCCUAUGCCUACAGAAGUAAGUUCUGUUGUGCAGAACAGGGGUUCGAUCCCACUAUUCUGGUCACAGGAUACAUCAAAAUUGAACAUAAAACCUGAUAUCAUAUUGCAUGAGAAGGACAAAAAUUAUGAAGCUACCAAGCUUCAUUUCGAAAAUCUUAGGGGAAGAUAUGGCAACCCUAUAAUUAUCUUCAACUUGAUUAAGACGCGUGAAAGACGGGAAUCCAUGCUUCGUCGAGAAUUUGAUAAGGCAAUACGGAUCAUAAAUAAAUUGUUUUCAGAGGAGAACCAGCUGCGGUUCUUACAUUGGGAUCUGCAUAAAAACUCUCAAGGAGAACCUACAAAUGUACUUGAUGUUCUUCUGAAAGUGGCAUUUCGUGCUCUGACGUUGACUGAGUUCUUCUAUUGUCAAGUUGCACCACCUACAGGGUCUGAGACUGCUCCUCACUGGCCUGCUCUAUUGCACAGUCACGAUCCAUAUUUUUGUGAUGAAAACAGCAACAGUGACAUAUCCCAAGAAGAUAUCUCGGGCAGUUCUGACUCCUCUGGCAAUGGAACCACGGAAGACAAAGCUGAAACCAGUGAACUGCCCCAACUAAAACCACCAAUCUUCCAGAAAGGUGUCUUACGGACAAAUUGUAUAGAUUGCUUGGAUCGUACAAAUGUUGCACAAUAUGCCUAUGGUUUAGCUGCUCUUGGACAUCAGCUGCAUGCACUUGGUUGUGUAGAAUCCCCAGAACUUGGUUUAGGUGCUCCCGUGGCUCAUCAUUUGAUGCACUUUUAUGAGAGGAUGGGUGACACACUUGCCGUACAGUAUAGCGGGUCGGCUGCUCAUAAUAAGAUCUUCUCUGCGAAGAGAGGACACUUGAAGCUUUUUAUACGAUCACAAGAGUUCUUCAGGACACUACAACGGCACUACAGCAACGCCUGUAUAGAUGCUAACAAACAGGCAGCUAUAAACUUAUUUUUGGGGUACUUCCAACCAAAGCAGGGAAGUCCUGCACUCUGGGAGCUAGAAUCAUCUUCUGAGGAACAUAACAAUGGAUCUUUUGGGCAUACAAGUGACAGUAUCAAAAGAGUGAAUUCAGAUGGCAGCAUCCUUUCUGUAAGCAACACAUCUAUAUCUGGCUGUAGUGGGUGCCAUAAUGAAUUGUUGACUGCAGCGCAACCUGAUGUCAGUACUGAGUUGCAAUCUUCAAAAAUGGAGUCUGAUUUGGUGUAUGUAAAUGAGAUUACAUCACCCAUUGAAAGUAAAAUGUCAAAUUCAAGAUACACCCCCACACUGUCUCAUGAUCAUAUACAUGAUGUCCCAAGCAGUCAACUUGACCCUUGCAAUUCGGGUGAUUCAAACUUCCUGGAUCUUGAAUGGCUUUCAAAUUCAGGCAAUUCAAGUGAUGAAAGGUCGCUUGCAGUUAGCACACCGGAUGCUCACCUUUCAACCGAGAAUGUCAUUAGUGACAUAAUUCCUGAGACUAUGGAAAACCAAGUCGCGGGGGUCCAGGCUCAGAAGCUACCCGAGCAAUUCGUGCAGUGGGUUAACAACGGCAACAGCUUUUGGUUUUGA
This 2379-nucleotide ribosomal RNA is filed under the name Triticum aestivum (bread wheat). RNAcentral describes it as "partial small subunit ribosomal RNA". Lineage: Eukaryota; Viridiplantae; Streptophyta; Magnoliopsida; Poales; Poaceae. The record is from RNAcentral.